RNAcentral lists this long non-coding RNA (199 nucleotides) under Elaeis guineensis (African oil palm). RNAcentral describes it as "long non-coding RNA (EGUI_LNC013153)". The record is from RNAcentral. Lineage: Eukaryota; Viridiplantae; Streptophyta; Magnoliopsida; Arecales; Arecaceae.
GGGUUCAAACCAGAAUUGAUUUAGUUUUGGAUCAAAUUGGAAUUAAAGAGUCCUAGUCCACAGGGACUCUAUCCUUUUCCCUUUGUGUCACUCUGGACCCAUGCCUCUCUUCUCAAUGCCAAAAGGGUUUUGGUGUGUGAAUUUUGGGCAUGAGGAGAGAGGGCGCAGAUAGGGUGAGCGGCAUGCAUGAUGAGUCAUG